UAAAAUGAUAAAAUAUCUAUAAUCUCUAUACUAUGAGAAAAAUUUAAACUCACAAAUCCUCUUAUGUAAGGGUUAUGAAUAUAUAUUACACAUUACUGAAUGUUUAUGAAAUAUAUACAUGGACUAUACAUAGUGUAUAUGUAUGAAUAUACAUAUUUAUAGAGGGUAUAUAUAUGACUAUAAUUUUUAAAAUUUUAUUAGGGAAUAAUUAUUGAGCCCAAAAGGAGUGUGAAAGGAUAGGUGGUGUGCAUUGUUCCUUAUCUCCUCAGAUCACACCACCAACACUACCCUUGGAGCCAUGAUUUUCUCUGCAAGAAGCAGAAUGCUUCUCACCAAGUAGGAAGCACAUUCCCAUGAUGCCCUUCUCCAGUACAGUGUCUACGGGUUUCAGGACAUGUCUAGUCCCAAAGCUGUACAAACAAUUCAGUAACUUCUCAAGUUAUGAGAUUACCCUCUGGUGAAGUCACCUGGGCUUGAGGGUUGGUUUGGCACAGAUCAUUGUUAGUAGUUAUUUGUCAUUGGUCUUUUAGUGUAUUACCUUUUUAGUGUAGAUUUUAUACUUCAGGUCAAUCCUGGCAGCCAGAUUGGCUGCUGUAAUGAAGAUGUGUGGAUAUAUUUUCUAUUCAGGGUUAGUGACAUAACUGAAUAGGCUUUCUUUGGGUUAAGAGUGACAAGUUAAUCUUAGCAACUUUAAAAUUAUUUUCUGCUUGCUAUAUUAGAAGAUAUAAAUACCUAAAUGGGAUUUUUUUUGUUUAUUCUUAUUUUUCUUCCAAUACUUAAGUAAAAUGCCAUUAGUAGGACUGAUUUUCCGUUAGAAAACAUUUUAAUCUGUGCACGCAUAUAUUCUUUCUAGAAAAAGAAAAACAUCCAUUCAUGAGAGUUCAGGGAUACGUGAAAAUGAAGCAAAUGAGGAAAGACCCAUUCACAUUCCUCCAAAAGAUCUGCGGCUCACUGGAAUCAUGUUACUGGCUCCUGGUAGUCCCUGACUUUACCUGUUUGUUCCAGGAACUUGCUUUAUGGCCAUUUGUUCUGAUGAUCAGUUUGGACAACCAACCUUUAUUCCUCCACCUCAGACAAUAUUCAACAUCCUGUAAUCAUCAUAGCGCAAUCAAGGCUGGUUUGGGGAAGAAGGAGAAGACCUGGGAUUUCCAUCAAGAACACUUAUCAGACUUUUCCACUGGAGAAAGUAGAGGCAAGCAGUCUGAUGGCUGCUCUGUCUGA
This 1221-nucleotide long non-coding RNA is filed under the name Pan troglodytes (chimpanzee). Its description in RNAcentral is "lncRNA (ENSPTRG00000054443.1)". Lineage: Eukaryota; Metazoa; Chordata; Mammalia; Primates; Hominidae. The record is from RNAcentral.